This 66-nucleotide non-coding RNA is filed under the name Streptomyces sp. SID8354. Lineage: Bacteria; Bacillati; Actinomycetota; Actinomycetes; Kitasatosporales; Streptomycetaceae. The record is from RNAcentral.
AGGCGAAACACCCCUCCGGGGUGUCCGGUCGGAGUGGUGUCCGGCUGCUGACGAUGCCAGCCCGCA